Molecule: unclassified non-coding RNA, 835 nt
Filed under: Athalia rosae (coleseed sawfly)
Lineage: Eukaryota; Metazoa; Arthropoda; Insecta; Hymenoptera; Athaliidae
Description: misc RNA ENSAEAG00005009245.1
Source: RNAcentral
GCAGAGGGGAGCCGAUAGAGAGAAAAUGGAGAGAAAAAGAGAGAAAGAGAAAUAGAUCGUGGACUUCAGUUUCGGAGGGAACGGAGGCGAGCAAUCGUUGUCUACUCUAUCGCCUCGCAAAGCACACUACACCACCAGUUCACGCGUCCGUCCUGCCUGCUCCGUUUGUGUCGCCUGCUCCGGCUCUCCAUCGUGUGCUCUUUUCCGCUUUUUUACUCUCCUAUUUGUCUAUUUGGUUUUUAUCGUAGAUUUCUUUUUUCACCUUCACUCUCUCGGAUGUUACGGUGGCUAUCGAACAACGGUUCCGUACACAACGUUCGCAGAGUGCAGUCGCGAUGCGAAAUUUCCGAAAAACUUUAUCGUUUCAAAAAAAGUAGGUCAAUUUUCGAACAAACCGAACUUUCGAGCUCUUCUUCUCCCGCCCCGCAGGAAGUUCGGGGGCCGAACCGAGAACAGGGAAGAGCACGAACAGUUUUUAAAUCGUUCCUCACUGUAUUGCGUAUCGUGAACGAUAUCACCCGCUAAUCGUUACCGAACGAAGUUCAGCUAUUCUUUUUCUCACCGUCUCUAUUUUGCCGAAGAAGAUUUGAGGAGUCGACCCGCGGAUACACGUGGACUAUGAGCUUGUGUCAGUAUCGUCUUGACGAACGAUACCUGUUGCUAGUUAUUUUUAAAGCAGUGUUAGUACUUUGUAAUACUGGAUUUCAGUAGUUUUAUUAAAAAUAAGUAUCUACCUCCAAGUAAAUCCUCGCUUGUGUUUAGUGAAGUGUUUAACGUCUUCUUUUCUCUAAACGGAUUACUUCUUCACUCUUCUUUAGCUAGCUGCAGUAAUAAG